CUUCUGCACUAAAACUGACACAGAGUUACACUAACAGCAACACUGACACUAAAACUGUAUCUGUAUCUUAGUUUAGUUCUGCUCAGUCAGCUGAAAAAAGAAAUAAAUUGUUAAUGAAUAAAAUGUUUUAAAAUGUAUUUUGAUUGUUUUUUUCAGGUAAAUUCCAUGAUGCAUCUGAAAGUGUUUUUGAGUAGAGAGUGUUUUGCAUAUGAACUGAACACUGCAGUGCUUAAAACUCCACUGAUGAUUAUUAGUGUGUGACAUCGACACACACACACACACACUUAAAACAAUGAUGUCUCUUAUUCUAAUGCUGUGGAUGCUCGGUCUGCUCGCACAAGUGUCUCAUCAAGAGGUUCAGUCUCCUGAGUCUCUGAGUGUUAAAGCAGGAGAGUCAGUCUCUAUGAGCUGCACUGGGACCAGUGGAGUUGGUGAUGACAUGAGCUGGUAUCUGCUGAAACCUGGAGAAGCUCCUAAACUCCUGGUCUAUGAUGCAAGUACACUUCAAUCUGGAGUCCCAGAUCGGUUCAGUGGAAGUUAUUCUGGACUUCAUUUCACACUGAAUCUACGUGGAGUCCAGCCUGAGGAUGCAGGAGUUUAUUACUGUAUGGGGUAUUACAGCAGAGACAGGUCCACACAGUGAAACAACAUCAUACAGAAACCCCCCUCAGUCAGACACUACAGAGAACAUGAGAAUCAGUCUAGUUUCCCUGUACAACAGAUGAAUAACACUUAAAGAAGUAAUGAAGAUUUUAAUGUUCACUUUAAUUGCCAUUUUAGAUUUAAGCAGAAAUUAAUAUGUGAAAUUUUGACCUUAGCAUCAUUGUAGACAGAAGCUUGUUUUUAUAAAGACUGGAAUUGUAAACUUUGUUAUAUGCAGCAUGAAAUACAUCACAUUCUGACAUCACAUUAUAUGAACAUGAAUUCACGCCAUCAAAACAUACUGAAACUAUUGUCUUUAAGUGAUAUUUUCAGUAUUAAAAUAUAAUGUUAGCAUUCA
Long non-coding RNA from Ctenopharyngodon idella (grass carp), 1000 nucleotides. RefSeq lists it as uncharacterized. The transcript has 2 exons. Lineage: Eukaryota; Metazoa; Chordata; Actinopteri; Cypriniformes; Xenocyprididae. The record is from RefSeq and is a predicted model, not a curated record.